UGCCCUAGUAACGGCGAGUGAAGCGGCAACAGCUCAAAUUUGAAAUCUGGCUUCGGCCCGAGUUGUAAUUUGUAGAGGAUGCUUUGGGCGCGGCGCCAACUGAGUUCCCUGGAACGGGACGCCACAGAGGGUGAGAGCCCCGUAUAGUUGGAUGCCUAGCCUAUGUAAAGCUCCUUCGACGAGUCGAGUAGUUUGGGAAUGCUGCUCAAAAUGGGAGGUAAAUUUCUUCUAAAGCUAAAUACCGGCCAGAGACCGAUAGCGCACAAGUAGAGUGAUCGAAAGAUGAAAAGCACUUUGAAAAGAGGGUUAAAUAGCACGUGAAAUUGUUGAAAGGGAAGCGCUUGUGACCAGACUUGCGCCGGGCAGAUCAUCCGGUGUUCUCACCGGUGCACUCUGCCCGGCUCAGGCCAGCAUCGGUUCUCGUGGGGGGAUAAAGGUCUCGGGAACGUAGCUCUUUCGGGAGUGUUAUAGCCCGGGGCGUAAUGCCCUCGCGGGGACCGAGGUUCGCGCAUCUGCAAGGAUGCUGGCGUAAUGGUCAUCAGCGACCCGUCUUGAAACACGGACCAAGGAGUCAAGGUUUUGCGCGAGUGUUUGGGUGUAAAACCCGCACGCGUAAUGAAAGUGAACGUAGGUGAGAGCUUCGGCGCAUCAUCGACCGAUCCUGAUGUAUUCGGAUGGAUUUGAGUAAGAGCGUUAAGCCUUGGACCCGAAAGAUGGUGAACUAUGCUUGGAUAGGGUGAAGCCAGAGGAAACUCUGGUGGAGGCUCGCAGCGGUUCUGACGUGCAAAUCGAUCGUCAAAUCUGAGCAUGGGGCGAAAGACUAAU
Molecule: ribosomal RNA, 825 nt
Filed under: Trichocladium seminis-citrulli
Lineage: Eukaryota; Fungi; Ascomycota; Sordariomycetes; Sordariales; Chaetomiaceae
Description: LSU rRNA
Rfam family: Eukaryotic large subunit ribosomal RNA
Source: RNAcentral